Molecule: ribosomal RNA, 254 nt
Filed under: uncultured bacterium
Lineage: Bacteria
Description: partial 16S ribosomal RNA
Rfam family: Archaeal small subunit ribosomal RNA
Source: RNAcentral
CACCGGCAGCUCUAGUGGUAGCAGUUUUUAUUGGGCCUAAAGCGUCCGUAGCCGGUUUAUUAAGUCUCUGGUGAAAUCCUGUAGCUUAACUGUGGGAAUUGCUGGAGAUACUAGUAGACUUGAGAUCGGGAGAGGUUAGAGGUACUCCCAGGGUAGAGGUGAAAUUCUGUAAUCCUGGGAGGACCGCCUGUGGCGAAGGCGUCUAGCUGGAACGAUUCUGACGGUGAGGGACGAAAGCUAGGGGCGCGAACCGG